UGGCUCAGUGGUAGAGCGCUUGCCUUGCAUGUAUGAGGCCCUGGGUUCGAUUCCCCAG
Molecule: transfer RNA, 58 nt
Filed under: Dipodomys ordii (Ord's kangaroo rat)
Lineage: Eukaryota; Metazoa; Chordata; Mammalia; Rodentia; Heteromyidae
Rfam family: tRNA
About the family: Transfer RNA (tRNA) molecules are approximately 80 nucleotides in length. Their secondary structure includes four short double-helical elements and three loops (D, anti-codon, and T loops).
Source: Rfam by way of RNAcentral